RNAcentral lists this transfer RNA (88 nucleotides) under Burkholderia ubonensis. Its description in RNAcentral is "tRNA-Ser". It matches the Rfam family "tRNA". Rfam says of the family: Transfer RNA (tRNA) molecules are approximately 80 nucleotides in length. Their secondary structure includes four short double-helical elements and three loops (D, anti-codon, and T loops). The record is from RNAcentral. Lineage: Bacteria; Pseudomonadati; Pseudomonadota; Betaproteobacteria; Burkholderiales; Burkholderiaceae.
GGAAACGUGGCCGAGCGAUUUAAGGCACCGGUCUUGAAAACCGGCGGCGGGUAACUGUCCGUGAGUUCGAAUUUCACCGUUUCCGCCA